RNAcentral lists this ribosomal RNA (253 nucleotides) under uncultured bacterium. Its description in RNAcentral is "partial 16S ribosomal RNA". It matches the Rfam family "Bacterial small subunit ribosomal RNA", at positions 524 to 776 of the family's 1533-position model. The record is from RNAcentral.
UACGUAGGCAGCAAGCGUUGUUCGGAGUUACUGGGCGUAAAGCGUGCGCAGGCGGUUUUGUAAGACUGUCGUGAAAUCCCCGGGCUCAACCUGGGAAUGGCGAUGGUGACUGCAAGGCUAGAGUUUGGCAGAGGGGGGUAGAAUUCCACGUGUAGCAGUGAAAUGCGUAGAUAUGUGGAGGAACACCGAUGGCGAAGGCAGCCCCCUGGGUCAAAACUGACGCUCAUGCACGAAAGCGUGGGGAGCAAACAGG